RNAcentral lists this long non-coding RNA (1079 nucleotides) under Heterocephalus glaber (naked mole-rat). RNAcentral describes it as "lncRNA (ENSHGLG00100040713.1)". The record is from RNAcentral. Lineage: Eukaryota; Metazoa; Chordata; Mammalia; Rodentia; Bathyergidae.
GUGAGUCUGGCAGCUCCUGAAGUUUGGGGUACUCAGAAUCGGGGGGGGGGGGGGUAAUGACACAAGACCUGAAAAGAUCAUCUCAGUCAUCUCCCACGCUGGAGGAUUUGAGGAUGCACAGUCUCUUCCAAAACCAGGGCCAGGAGGAGUGGGAGGAGCUUUCUCAAGGGAGAAGAAGCAUAAGGAGAGACAAGAGUCUCUCUCCACCCCACAUACUUCCCAUAAACCACAGUGUCAGGCUCUAAAAGUAUCCCUGAUGCUCUAAAGUCAACUGAGAAACCAGUUCCAGGGGUUAAAACUUGUCUGAGAUAACAACUAAAUUCUAUUUGAUUUCCCACUAUUGGUCAUCUGCUGGGAAUGAGGCAUAAGCCCAGCUCUGUCACAUGGAGGAAAAACAUGAUGCAAUUAACCAAGUUGCUAGUGCAUCAUCUCAUCCUGACCUCUGCCACCAGCCUCCAUCCAGGCCAUCCCCUGCAAUCCCACACAGCCAGCUGGGCCCCUGGGGGCCAUCCCAGCCCUCCUCCUGGGUUCCCUUCCCAGGUCCAACUGAGGAUCUUCGUGUGAAGCUCACCUCAGGUACCUAUGUCUGAAUCCCACCAGCAGUGCAAAGACCCUUCCUGGAGGGGAAAGCUCAAGAAACCAGAGCAGCUCCACAGCCCAGGCCUGGAGGGGAAGCCAGAGGGAGUUUAUGCAGCAGGAGCCCUGGGCCGGCCCCGCCCGGCUGCCUGCCUGACUGAGGGCUGCCUCUGCAGUUGAGUCGUCCCCAUCCCCUGGGGGACUGUUUUCUCUAAUAAUCCUUUAAUAUUAGGAAAUAUCUGUCAGUGUUUACAAUUUCCUGAAUGUCUUCAAUUUGCUCCCUUUUUUGUGAUGUUUGUUUGAAUGAAGAAUCUAAAGAUCUGUACAUUGUCAUUGAUAGAUAUAUCUCUGAAAUCCUUUGUAGUUUAGUUUACCCUCUAAGUAAAUCCUCUCUCCACUUUUUUAAUGAAAAAAAAGUGUCCUUUUUAAUGAAAGCAAAGUAAGGUUGUUUAUGCUGCAGUUUCCCAAACCUGAAUUUUUAAAAUUAAAACACAGUAAAGUCC